GCUCCCGUGUGUCCGCUGACACCCCUUGUCCCUUGUCCCCGCAGCGGCCCCCUCCACCCAGCUCGGUGGUCUCUGCCGACCCCGCUCCGGCUUGUCAGUGUCUUUCCGCUAUGGAGCGGGUCAGAAGCGGACCCAGCACCUCGAGGUCUUCUAGCAAUGUCCUGUUUAAAGCCACACGAGUCAAAGGCGACAGCAGGCACUGUUCAGCCAGAUGCUUGAGAUGCAGCUCCUGCUGCUUAUUCAAGGGGAGAGAACACCGGGGGCAGGCAGAGUUCAAAAUGCAACCAGAAGCUCCGAUUUCUGUCUGAACUCCCUUUGUCUGGAAACCAGGUCCCAGGAGACUGUGCUGCUUCCUGCAUGAAUGGAACGUACCCACUCGAGGGCAGAGGCUCUGACUAAUGCCUGGGCAGACAUUUACCUCCCCUCAGAACCAGCAGCACAUCGUGUCUCCAUCACCUGGCUGAUUAAAAUUCUGGGUGCUGCAGUGAGGAGCACCAUGCAAGCACACCAGGAACAUCUUCACCUGUCAACACGGGGUCUUUCCAGUCCACAUAGGUCAAGGAAAUAUUAAAGCUUGCACAGAAUAAUGUACCAGAAUUAUUGCUCUACAAGUAAGAUUAAUCAGUCCCAUUGCAGCUCAUUUCUCCCAAAUUUCAUGUGAAGCUGUAUGAAAAAAGUAAUAAAAUAAUUGUAAAAUGUUGGAUUUAGCCUGUAGGAAAACAGUAGUCAAUUGCUUUAAUACAGCUUGAUCCUACCCUUUGUAACAUGAAUUAUGAUGGCAUCCUGGGCAAAUAACCUCACAUUAC
This is a long non-coding RNA of Passer domesticus (house sparrow), 806 nucleotides long. RefSeq lists it as uncharacterized. The transcript has 2 exons. The record is from RefSeq and is a predicted model, not a curated record. Lineage: Eukaryota; Metazoa; Chordata; Aves; Passeriformes; Passeridae.